Molecule: ribosomal RNA, 612 nt
Filed under: Clostridioides difficile
Lineage: Bacteria; Bacillati; Bacillota; Clostridia; Peptostreptococcales; Peptostreptococcaceae
Description: bacterial SSU rRNA
Rfam family: Bacterial small subunit ribosomal RNA
Source: RNAcentral
GUAGCGGAGCAUGUGGUUUAAUUCGAAGCAACGCGAAGAACCUUACCUAAGCUUGACAUCCCAAUGACAUCUCCUUAAUCGGAGAGUUCCCUUCGGGGACAUUGGUGACAGGUGGUGCAUGGUUGUCGUCAGCUCGUGUCGUGAGAUGUUGGGUUAAGUCCCGCAACGAGCGCAACCCUUGUCUUUAGUUGCCAUCAUUAAGUUGGGCACUCUAGAGAGACUGCCAGGGAUAACCUGGAGGAAGGUGGGGAUGACGUCAAAUCAUCAUGCCCCUUAUGCUUAGGGCUACACACGUGCUACAAUGGGUAGUACAGAGGGUUGCCAAGCCGUAAGGUGGAGCUAAUCCCUUAAAGCUACUCUCAGUUCGGAUUGUAGGCUGAAACUCGCCUACAUGAAGCUGGAGUUACUAGUAAUCGCAGAUCAGAAUGCUGCGGUGAAUGCGUUCCCGGGUCUUGUACACACCGCCCGUCACACCACGGGAGUUGGAGACGCCCGAAGCCGAUUAUCUAACCUUUUGGAAGAAGUCGUCGAAGGUGGAAUCAAUAACUGGGGUGAAGUCGUAACAAGGUAGCCGUAUCGGAAGGUGCGGCUGGAUCACCUCCUUUCUAAGGA